RNAcentral lists this ribosomal RNA (461 nucleotides) under uncultured bacterium. Its description in RNAcentral is "partial 16S ribosomal RNA". It matches the Rfam family "Bacterial small subunit ribosomal RNA", at positions 28 to 507 of the family's 1533-position model. The record is from RNAcentral.
GACGAACGCUGGCGGCGUGCUUAACACAUGCAAGUCGAGCGGAAAGGCCCUUCGGGGUACUCGAGCGGCGAACGGGUGAGUAACACGUGAGUAACCUGCCCCAGACUUUGGGAUAACCCUCGGAAACGGGGGCUAAUACCGGAUACGACACAGCUUCGCAUGGGGUCUGUGUGGAAAGUUUUUCGGUUUGGGAUGGGCUCGCGGCCUAUAGCUUGUUGGUGGGGUGAUGGCCUACCAAGGCGACGACGGGUAGCCGGCCUGAGAGGGCGACCGGCCACACUGGGACUGAGACACGGCCCAGACUCCUACGGGAGGCAGCAGUGGGGAAUAUUGCACAAUGGGCGGAAGCCUGAUGCAGCGACGCCGCGUGAGGGAUGACGGCCUUCGGGUCGUAAACCUCUUUCAGCAGGGACGAAGCGUAAGUGACGGUACCUGCAGAAGAAGCGCCGGCCAACUACGUG